GAUGAACGCUAGCGGCAGGCCUAACACAUGCAAGUCGAGCGGGAUUCGGUAGCUUGCUACCGAUGAGAGCGGCGCACGGGUGCGUAACGCGUAUACAAUCUGCCUCUUACUUCGGGAUAGCCCAGAGAAAUUUGGAUUAACACCGCAUAGCAUAACAGUUCGGCAUCGAGCAGUUAUUAAAGGUUACGGUAAGAGAUGAGUAUGCGUCCUAUUAGCUAGUUGGUAAGGUAACGGCUUACCAAGGCAACGAUAGGUAGGGGCCCUGAGAGGGGGAUCCCCCACACUGGUACUGAGACACGGACCAGACUCCUACGGGAGGCAGCAGUGAGGAAUAUUGGACAAUGGGCGCAAGCCUGAUCCAGCCAUGCCGCGUGCAGGAAGACGGCCCUAUGGGUUGUAAACUGCUUUUGUACAGGAAGAAACACCUCUACGUGUAGAGGCUUGACGGUAC
Molecule: ribosomal RNA, 451 nt
Filed under: uncultured bacterium
Lineage: Bacteria
Description: bacterial SSU rRNA
Rfam family: Bacterial small subunit ribosomal RNA
Source: RNAcentral